RNAcentral lists this transfer RNA (100 nucleotides) under uncultured Helicobacter sp. Its description in RNAcentral is "tRNA-Sec". It matches the Rfam family "Selenocysteine transfer RNA". Lineage: Bacteria; Pseudomonadati; Campylobacterota; Epsilonproteobacteria; Campylobacterales; Helicobacteraceae. The record is from RNAcentral.
AUGGAGGGCUAGCGUCUCUGGUGAUCGCCGUGGGCUUCAAACCCAUUGAAGGGUUAGGUGUCUAAUCCUUGGGGAGUUCGAUUCUCUCGCCUUCUUGCCA